UCGAGGAUCUUCGUCAAUGGGCGAAAGCCUGAACGAGCGAUGCCGCGUGCGCGAUGAAGGCCUUCGGGUUGUAAAGCGCUGUCGAGGGGGAGAAAAGCCGAAAGGUUUGAUCUAUCCCUGGAGGAAGCUCGGGCUAAGUUCGUGCCAGCAGCCGCGGUAAGACGAACCGAGCGAACGUUGUUCGGAAUCACUGGGCUUAAAGGGCGCGUAGGCGGGCUGUCAAGUCUGGGGUGAAAUCCCACGGCUCAACCGUGGAACUGCCUCAGAUACUGACGGCCUCGAGGGAGGCAGGGGCGAGCGGAACGGGUGGUGGAGCGGUGAAAUGCGUUGAUAUCACUCGGAACUCCGGUGGCGAAAGCGGCUCGCUGGGCCGUUCCUGACGCUGAGACGCGAAAGCUAGGGGAGCGAACAG
This 412-nucleotide ribosomal RNA is filed under the name uncultured bacterium. RNAcentral describes it as "bacterial SSU rRNA". It matches the Rfam family "Bacterial small subunit ribosomal RNA", at positions 355 to 775 of the family's 1533-position model. The record is from RNAcentral.